AAUCCAUUGUGCGGGCAGUCGUGAACUAAUCUCUUGAACCUCGCCCAUGCAUCACCGAGUGAUUCGUCUUCUUCUUGUUCAAAAUUGAUGAUUAACUUCCUUAUUCU
Molecule: small nucleolar RNA, 107 nt
Organism: Benincasa hispida (wax gourd)
Lineage: Eukaryota; Viridiplantae; Streptophyta; Magnoliopsida; Cucurbitales; Cucurbitaceae
Source: RefSeq, a predicted model, not a curated record